GAUGAACGCUGGCGGCAGGCCUAAUACAUGCAAGUCGAACGAGUGGCGGACGGGCGAGUAAUGUCUGGGAACCUGCCUGAUGUAGGCGGCUAACUACUGGAACCGGUAGCUACUACUGCUUAACUUCCGAUGUGAUCUGGUUGGAUUAGCUAGUAGGUGGGGAAAAGGCUCACAGAGGCGACGGUCCCUAGCUGGUCUGAGAGGAUGACCAGCCACACUGGAAAUGAGACACGGUCCAGACGCCUACGGGAGGCAGCAGUGGGGAAUAUUGCACAAUGGUCGCAAGCCUGAUGCAGCCAUGCCGCGUGUAUGAAGAAGGCCUUCGGGUUGUAAAGUACUGUCAGCGGGGAGGCGUUACCCGCAGAAGAAGCACCGGCUAACUCCGUGCCAGCAGCCGCGGUAAUAC
RNAcentral lists this ribosomal RNA (406 nucleotides) under uncultured bacterium. RNAcentral describes it as "partial 16S ribosomal RNA". It matches the Rfam family "Bacterial small subunit ribosomal RNA", at positions 28 to 526 of the family's 1533-position model. The record is from RNAcentral.